Long non-coding RNA from Diachasmimorpha longicaudata, 952 nucleotides. RefSeq lists it as uncharacterized. NCBI's taxonomy places the organism in Eukaryota, Metazoa, Arthropoda, Insecta, Hymenoptera, Braconidae. The record is from RefSeq and is a predicted model, not a curated record. The transcript has 3 exons.
GUGAUGCACGCAUGAAAAAAAAAAUCAUGGAAAUGGCAAUAAAACAGGGAAAACCGGAGAUUUAACGGUACAUAAUUCCGAUAAAUCAGUGCAAUUUGCCAAGAUGAUAAGUGAAUGUCAGUCAACUGAUUAUUUCAAGUUCAACCGCCCGGUGACUAGGGUAAUGAGUAAUGGGAGUAAUUAUCAGACAGUGCUCAAUUAGUGUUAAAUAAUUACGAGGAGAGGACACACCUACUGCGCAGAAGUGCUUAUUUAUCCUGACUUUUUUCCGGCUUUUCAUUCACAUUCUCGUGUUUUCUUUGGUCAUAGACCGGCGGGGGAGGGGGCUCAUUAAAUUUAGUUCAGUGAAGGAUGAGUCACUGAAAUAAACCGCAGGAAAAGAAUUAUUUCUUGGCGUUGAAAUUGCUAAUUUUGUGAUGCAAGUAAUUACUCAUGAAUCAAAAAGCAUGAGGAAUACGGAAACGAAUAAAAUACGUCGAGCCCAAGAUCUGGGAAAAGCACUGAGGCGCUAGAUGCAUGCACCGAAAGGGAUCGAGCGGGUCGAGCGAAGGUUUUCUUCCUGUGCGGGGAAGGGAGGUCCAAGGAGUGCUUCAAGGCAAAGGUAUACCCACUUGUAAGAGAGGUGAGAGGAAUUGGCUUGGGGUCCAGGCAAUGGGCUGUAAGAAGCCGAGUGUAAACAAUAAGAGUCAGAUACGCCGGGGUGGGAGGACUGAGUAAUCUUAUUAACGUUAUAAAUCGCCUGCUUCUGGUGGAUAACCCGGGACCCUCAACUGUGCGGAUGUCUGUGCUGCCCCAGCUCCCUCGAUUUUUCACUCCUGUUUGUUAUUGGAAUGUUUAUGCAUUUGCAUAAUUUUUGUAAUUACAAGUUUUUCACAGUAUGACGUAUCCAUUCGUUGAAUAAUUUUAAAAAUCCCACUAGAACGUAAAAAAUAAAAAUUCUAGUUAUUGUUAC